UGGGGGAUAUUAGACAAUGGGGGAAACCCUGAUCUAGCAACGCCGCGUGAAGGAUGAAGGUCUUCGGAUUGUAAACUUCUUUGACGAGGGAAGAUAAUGACGGUACCUCGAGAACAAGCCACGGCUAACUACGUGCCGGCAGCCGCGGUAAUACGUAGGUGGCGAGCGUUGUCCGGAUUUACUGGGUGUAAAGGGCGUGUAGGCGGAGAAGCAAGUCAGAAGUGAAAUCCAUGGGCUUAACCCAUGAACUGCUUUUGAAACUGUUUCCCUUGAGUAUCGGAGAGGCAGGCGGAAUUCCUAGUGUAGCGGUGAAAUGCGUAGAUAUUAGGAGGAACACCAGUGGCGAAGGCGGCCUGCUGGACGACAACUGACGCUGAGGCGCGAAAGCGUGGGGAGCAAACAGGAUUAGAUACCCUGGUAGU
Molecule: ribosomal RNA, 422 nt
Filed under: uncultured Acetivibrio sp.
Lineage: Bacteria; Bacillati; Bacillota; Clostridia; Acetivibrionales; Acetivibrionaceae
Description: bacterial SSU rRNA
Rfam family: Bacterial small subunit ribosomal RNA
Source: RNAcentral